UAAAGGAGGAGGAGAAAGGACACAGACAAGAGAGAGAAGAAGAACAACUGUGAGUCAGAGUCACAAACAAACAAACAAACAAACAAACAAACAAACAAAGUUCUGCGAGAAGAAAACGACUUUAUAGAAACAGAGUUUAAAGAUUCAGAGCUGAAUCUUCUCCUGAGUUGAUUUUAAAGAGUCUUUCAGGGGAUCACAGGGGGAUAACAUGGGGAUCACAGGUGAAUCACAGGGGGAUAACAUGGGGAUCUCAAGUGGAUCACAGGGGGAUAACAUGAGGAUCACAGGGGAAUCACAGGGGGAUAACAUGAGGAUCACAGGGGGAUCACAGGGGGAUAACAUGAGGAUCACAGGGGGAUCACAGGGGAUAACAUGAGGAUCACAGGGGGAUCACAGGGGGAUAACAUGAGGAUCACAGGGGAAUCACAGGGGGAUCACAGGGGAAUCACAGGGGGAUCACAGGUGAAUCACAGGUGAAUCACAGGGGGAUAACAUGAGGAUCACAGGUGAAUCACAGGGGGAUAACAUGGGGAUCACAGGGGGAUAACAUGAGGAUCACAGGGGAAUCACAGGGGGAUCACAGGGGAAUCACAGGGGGAUCACAGGUGAAUCACAGGUGAAUCACAGGGGGAUAACAUGAGGAUCACAGGUGAAUCACAGGGGGAUCACAGGGGAAUCACAGGGGGAUCACAGGUGAAUCACAGGUGAAUCACAGGGGGA
Molecule: long non-coding RNA, 720 nt
Organism: Siniperca chuatsi (mandarin fish)
Lineage: Eukaryota; Metazoa; Chordata; Actinopteri; Centrarchiformes; Sinipercidae
Exons: 2
Source: RefSeq, a predicted model, not a curated record